AAGUCGUAACAAGGUUUCCGUAGGUGAACCUGCGGAAGGAUCAUUACAGUGUUAGGCUUCGGCCUCAUUCACACCCCUUGUUGAACCUCUGGUUUCUUUGGCGAUGUCAUGGACUCGUCAAACUUUAACUCUGGUAAUGCGAUAUUGUCCGAGUGCCAUUGAAUUAUAAAAACUUUCAACAACGGAUCUCUUGGUUCCA
This 199-nucleotide unclassified non-coding RNA is filed under the name fungal sp. Its description in RNAcentral is "partial internal transcribed spacer region". The stretch from base 1 to 46 matches the Rfam family "Eukaryotic small subunit ribosomal RNA", at positions 1786 to 1831 of the family's 1831-position model. Lineage: Eukaryota; Fungi. RNAcentral also lists the same sequence under 1 other name. The record is from RNAcentral.